UACAGAGGGGGCAAGCGUUGUUCGGAAUUACUGGGCGUAAAGGGCGCGUAGGCGGCCUUCUAAGUCGAACGUGAAAUCCCCGGGCUCAACCCGGGAACUGCGUCCGAUACUGGAAGGCUUGAAUCCGGGAGAGGGAUGCGGAAUUCCAGGUGUAGCGGUGAAAUGCGUAGAUAUCUGGAGGAACACCGGUGGCGAAGGCGGCAUCCUGGACCGUAACUGACGCUGAGGAGCGAAAGCGUGGGGAGCGAACAGG
This 253-nucleotide ribosomal RNA is filed under the name uncultured bacterium. Its description in RNAcentral is "partial 16S ribosomal RNA". It matches the Rfam family "Bacterial small subunit ribosomal RNA", at positions 524 to 776 of the family's 1533-position model. The record is from RNAcentral.